CCUAGACACCACGCCGCCACCCUUUCCACGUGGGUCCCAGCCACCUCCCUGCUCUACUCCUGCCUGCCUGCAUGAGUGGGUCCCCCAGGAUCUCUCUGAUUCCCAGCCCCUCAUUCGCUGCAGCCAUAUGGCUUCCCUCCUGCUGCCUUGAACAUGCCAAGCACCCAUCUCACUCCCUCCUUCCAUUUACGUCUCUGUUCAAACGCUUCCUUUGCCCGAGGGUGUCCACUUUACCCCACCCGGCAGGCUCUGUUCCUCUGCUCUGCCAACCUUCCUUCUUGGAGCCCAGCAUCACCUGACAUAUUCUAUAUCACAUUUUCGGUAUUUCCUGCCCCUGCCUCUUCGUGAGAAUGCAAGCGCCACGAGGAAAGGAAGUUUGGUUCAUUUUAUUCCCUGCUGUGUCUCCAGAACAUCGAGUGGUUCCCUGCGCGGAGACUUUCUCAAUGAACAUCUGGGGCAGGAAUCAGUGAACAGGGUCACUUUCUCCAGGAAGCCUUCCCUGAAUGCCUGCCUGUAGAACCAUCGCAUGGCUCUCCUCUUCCCUUCCCUGUGUAAUCAAGGAUACCACACAAGCCUUGAGCACUGAACUUACGGAAUUGGGCCUGACUCUGGGAUCACGUGUGCACCAUCUCAAGGCAGAGCUGGAUCCAAACCCAGGCCUUAGCGCAGGCCUGCCUUGGUAGAAGGCGCACUUCAAGAAAUCUGGCCUCGGCCAAAUUGAUCAUAGUCACGAAGUAUGUAGCUGGAUAUGCUAAUUCUAUAUUGCCAAUGUGCCUUCAUAAACACACAACCCAGGGAAGAAGAGCGGAGGUCUUUCGGCGACUAUCUAAUUCCAGGAUCUGGUCACAGCUGUGAAUCUUGCGGUUCCAGCUGCCUCGAGAGCUCUCAGGGGGCAGGGACCAGGCUGGGCCCCCACCCGGCACGGAACCUGGGACUCGGCACACAGCCAGCCACCCUGGUGACAGCCUCAGGGGCAACUGUCCCAACUCAGCAACCUGCUUCCCACGACCCCAACCGCCCCUUGUGCCUGCCCACUGGGGCCCACACCGGGUAGGAGGGGGGAGGGGGGAGGGAGAGGACAGGGCUCCAGCCUGCAGUGCAGGCGCACUCAGGCACAUCCGUUCUCCUUCAGGGGACCUUCCUUGAGGGUCCCAUUCUCCCUGCCUGCUCUCCUUAGGGCUUCCUCAACCUGGGGGGUGGGGUGUGGAUCGCAGUCUGGGGUGCUCAGGGGCGAGCCUACACGGUGAGAAGUUAGGAGCCUUCAGCCCUGAGGCCUGGGCCAUCUUCCUGCUGGGGCCACAAGGUCGGCAGCAUAGGGCUGGGCCUUGGAAAUACAAUAAAGGAAAUGGGAAGAAGCGGUGGGGGCGGGUGGGGCGGGCGCGGGGGGGUUGGGGAGGGGCGCGUCCAGGCUUCCAGGGCCUGGAGCUUAUACUAGUUUAGGGUUCUCUUCAGAAAUGUAUAUAGAAUUACAAAUACAUAUUUAUUUUUUCUUUAAUUUUUAAAAUACAUUUAUUGAUUGUUGAGAGAGCACAA
Hyaena hyaena (striped hyena) is the source of this 1533-nucleotide long non-coding RNA. RefSeq lists it as uncharacterized. NCBI's taxonomy places the organism in Eukaryota, Metazoa, Chordata, Mammalia, Carnivora, Hyaenidae. The transcript is spliced from 3 exons. The record is from RefSeq and is a predicted model, not a curated record.